Molecule: long non-coding RNA, 829 nt
Filed under: Rattus norvegicus (Norway rat)
Lineage: Eukaryota; Metazoa; Chordata; Mammalia; Rodentia; Muridae
Description: long non-coding RNA NONRATT009428
Source: RNAcentral
GGUGCUGGGAGCUGAACUCUAACUCUUAGGGGAGCAGCAAGUAUUCUUAAAUACUGAAAUAUCUUUCUAGCACCAAGUAAUUAACAAACAAACAACAACAACAACAGAUUCUUCAGUGGGGCUUGGAGAGGUGACCCAGCAAUAAAGAGCACACACUCCUCCAGCAGAGGACCUGAAUUUGAUCGCUAGCAUCCACGGAGGUUAGCACCAAUUGCUUGUAAUUUCAGAUCUAAGAAGACCUGAUGCCCUUGGCCUCUGUACUUGUAUGCACAGGACCACACAUAUACAUAUAAAAAUAAAAGAACUCUUAAAGAACAAAAACUCUUGGGAAUUGCUAAGAAAAUUAGGUAAAGGCAGCUGCUACCAGGCCUGUUAAUCUCGAGCUCCAUUCUUGGAUCCCACAUGGUGAAAAGAACUGUCUCCUACAAGUUGUCCUCUGACCUUCAUAUACAGGCACGUGCGCACGCACACAGGCACACGCACUAGCAUAAUCAAAUGGAUGAAUAAAUGAGCAAAGUACGUGUGUACAUAUGGGAUUGGUGAAAGUAAAGCCCAAAUGUAUUUAGGAUAUGGAUAAUAAGAUGCCUCUGUUAAGUGUCCGUCCUAGAUUUCUGUAAUAUUUAAUUAAACUGUAAGUUCUAUAAAAAUUCAUAUUAGGGAAAUAGGCAGCCAUAUUAAACUCAACAGCUGAUAACUGAAGUCUUCAGUAAGAGAUGGCAGUAUGAUAUGAUUACAGUUGAGAUAGACCUGGAAUGUUUACAUUUUGCUUCCUUUAUGUCCUAAAGUCUAAAUGUGGUCUGAACAGAUUAAAAGAUGCUAUUAGAAGUGG